Non-coding RNA from Paramormyrops kingsleyae, 700 nucleotides. The record is from RefSeq and is a predicted model, not a curated record. Lineage: Eukaryota; Metazoa; Chordata; Actinopteri; Osteoglossiformes; Mormyridae.
CCAACUUCCUUAAUGCAGCCUAAUGGAGUGCACCUGUAGCUUACUGGAUUUCGUUUGGAAUAGACGCUGUAGUGAGUGACAUCGUUACAGGGAAUGAAUCUUCUGGAUGAAAACGAAAAAUGAAUUGCAGAUUAGGAGGGCGAUGUUAGGGCUUCACGCAAAGAGAUGAACCAAAAUGAAAUCCAGUCAAGUCCAGGAUGAAGGAUAUCUUACGCCACUGGAUCGGAUACAAACUUGGCCGCUGAGUAAAAAGUAGUGAAGAGGAGUUUCUGGUUGGAAGAUUCUGGAAUGGGGGUGGUGGCCUUACUGACCAGCUGAUAAUGUGCUCACUUGGGUAACCCUGGACUCUCCCCGACUCCUCUCGCCCCCCAUUUGACCCAAUAAGCCACCCAGCAAUUCCAUGCAUGGAGUCCACACAGUUCAGCAAAGGUGUGUUCCGGGGACAAGGCUUGGUCAACUCCUUGUAGCCCCCACUAUUCUGCACCCCUCCCAACCCAUUACCUUUCCUAUCUUGUUUUUCUGGAGAGCUUUUGCAUUUACCCAAGGAAUGGAUUUACCAUCGGACCCAAGCAAGCAUGGGAAGAAGCCAACAAGUCACAAGCUGGAGGACCAGAAGAAGGAUGCAAGGAAUGAAGAAGACAUAUAUUUCUUCAGUUGUACUUUAUCUGAGAAAUAUUGUACAUGCAAAUGCAUUCUGAAG